GGUGCCUGCACUUUUGACGCCGAAGAAGGAUGGGAGUUGGCGUAUGUGUGUGGACAGCCGUGCGAUCAACAGGAUAACGGUAAAAUACUGGUUUCCCAUACCCCGUUUGAAUGAUAUGCUCGACAUGUUAGAAGGAGCCAAGGUCUUCUCCAAAAUUGACUUACGAAGCGGCUACCAUCAAAUCCGGAUUCGCCCUGGUGAUGAGUGGAAGACGGCAUUCAAGACGAAGGAUGGGUUAUAUGAGUGGAUGGUCAUGCCUUUUGGCCUAUCCAAUGCACCGAGCACCUUCAUGAGAAUAAUAAAUCAGGUACUAAAAUCAUUUAUUGGAAAGUUCGUCGUCGUCUACUUUGAUGAUAUUUUGAUCUAUAGUCGCAAUGAAAUUGAGCAUAAGAAGCACUUGAGAGCAGUUUUGCUUGCUUUGCGGGAGAAUUAGUUGUCUGUUAAUCUUAAGAAGUGUCAUUUCGUUACAAAACGCUUGGUGUUCCUGGGAUUUGUUGUUGGGGCUGAUGGCAUACAGGUUGAUGAAGAGAAGGUAAAGGCAAUACGGGAGUGGCCGAUUCCUACAAAUGUUAGCCAAGUCCGCAGCUUUCAUGGGUUAGCGACAUUCUAUCGGAGUUUCAUUCAGAACUUCAGUACCAUCGUCGCUCCCAUCACCGAAUGCAUGAAGAAGGGCCAAUUUCAAUGGAUGGAGCAGCAACAAGCAAGUUUCGAACUGAUAAAAGAAAAGCUAACUUCUGCACCAGUACUCGCAUUACCGAGUUUUGAGAAGCUAUUUGAAGUGGAGUGUGAUGCUUCUGUGGUCGGCAUAGGGGCUGUUUUGACCCAAGAAGGACGGCCCGUGGAGUACUUCAGUGAAAAACUUAGUGAAGCACGGCAAAAAUGGACAACCUACGAGCUAGAGUUCUAUGCCAUCAUCCGGGUGUUGAAGCAUUGGGAGCAUUACCUUAUUCAAAAAGAAUUUGUUCUGUACAGCGACCAUCAAGCCUUGAAGUACAUCAAUAAUCAGAACAAUUUGAACCGAAUGCAUAUUCGGUGGGNNNNNNNNNNNNNNNNNNNNGUUGAAGCAUUGGAAGCAUUACCUUAUUCAAAAAGAAUUUGUUCUGUACAGCGACCAUCAAGCCUUGAAGUACAUCAAUAAUCAGA
RNAcentral lists this long non-coding RNA (1143 nucleotides) under Phoenix dactylifera (date palm). RNAcentral describes it as "long non-coding RNA (PDAC_LNC002683)". Lineage: Eukaryota; Viridiplantae; Streptophyta; Magnoliopsida; Arecales; Arecaceae. The record is from RNAcentral.